UGCUAACCCAGUGUCGCACAGGAUGGGUUCAGAGAGGAGAAACCGUGCCCCAGCGCGGGGCAGAGAGGAGGUGGCGCCCCUCAGAGGGAGCCCUUGGUCUGCCCACACAGCUGGCGAUUUCAUGCAAAGAGGCUGGAAGCAAAUGUGAAGGAAAUGUGAAGGAAAUAAAAAACAAAACAAAGCAAAGUAAUGAACGUGCCCACAGUCCUGAGAACAGGGGACUGGAGGGAGACCGCCACCUUGGGACUCUGGUAAGAAUUAUGAGGAUGAGGCGAGCAAGUUGGGGACCUGGCUCACGUUGAGGAAUUGCUACACUUGCCUAGAUCAGCCACUUCAGGACUUCUUGUUAAGUUUAGGAGAUAAUUCCCAUUUGAUUAAAUUGGUAGAGUCAAGUUUCUGUUGCAUGCAUAGAAAUGCAAUUUCAAACGGACACACGCACAGCAUUUGGAAAUAUUACCAU
This 460-nucleotide long non-coding RNA is filed under the name Ursus maritimus (polar bear). RNAcentral describes it as "lncRNA (ENSUMAG00000001684.1)". The record is from RNAcentral. Lineage: Eukaryota; Metazoa; Chordata; Mammalia; Carnivora; Ursidae.